AGUGAACGCUGGCGGUAGGCCUAACACAUGCAAGUCGAACGGCAGCACAGUAAGAGCUUGCUCUUACGGGUGGCGAGUGGCGGACGGGUGAGGAAUACAUCGGAAUCUACUUUUUCGUGGGGGAUAACGUAGGGAAACUUACGCUAAUACCGCAUACGACCUACGGGUGAAAGCAGGGGAUCUUCGGACCUUGCGCGAUUGAAUGAGCCGAUGUCGGAUUAGCUAGUUGGCGGGGUAAAGGCCCACCAAGGCGACGAUCCGUAGCUGGUCUGAGAGGAUGAUCGGCCACACUGGAACUGAGACACGGUCCAGACUCCUACGGGAGGCGGCAGUAGGGAAUAUUGGGCAAUGGGCGCAAGCCUGAUCCAGCCAUACCGCGUGGGUGAAGAAGGCCUUCGGGUUGUAAAGCCCUUUUGUUGGGAAAGAAAAGCAGCAGGUUAAUACCCCGCUGUUCUGACGGUACCCAAAGAAUAAGCACCGGCUAACUUCGUG
This 492-nucleotide ribosomal RNA is filed under the name uncultured bacterium. RNAcentral describes it as "partial 16S ribosomal RNA". It matches the Rfam family "Bacterial small subunit ribosomal RNA", at positions 29 to 507 of the family's 1533-position model. The record is from RNAcentral.